Molecule: long non-coding RNA, 13443 nt
Organism: Marmota monax (woodchuck)
Lineage: Eukaryota; Metazoa; Chordata; Mammalia; Rodentia; Sciuridae
Exons: 2
Source: RefSeq, a predicted model, not a curated record
CACAAGAGAGAUCCCCGAGGGCUCCAGGUGAGUCACACAACAAACCCAAGAACUAGUGGAACUAGCUGUCCCUGAGUUACUGAGUGACCUCUGGUCAAGUGCUGAGGCUCUCUGUGCCUCAGAGGUACGCCACUCUCUUGAUCUUUUCCUAGUGGGCAGUGUGCAGUGGGUGACUACAAGGUAAGAAAAAAAGGAAUGGCCCCAUUAAAGGGCAGGGACAACUGCUUGAUGGAUGUUGGUGGCCUGGCUCUCCCCCAUUCUGCUAUCUCUCUGCACACAACCUACCUCUGAGCAUCUCUGGGGAUGGACCCCUCCCACACAGUGGGCACUCCUGUCAUUUAGAAUGUUCUGUCCUCCUUGCCCACUGAGUGGACCCAAAAAAAGCCUGGGGAAUUGGAAUCCUGUGAAGAGGGACACAAGAUUGGAAAUGAAAUGAUUGGCGCCAAUUGAUCCUAGCAGCUGUGAGACAAGAUUAUGAGCUUCUGCUCUCUAGAUCACUGCAAAGACUGCAUCUGUCCUUCCCUGGCCUGGACUUGUAUCUGCCCCCUUACCCUGUGAACCACUCCCAAGUCCUUCAGAUAAAAUCCUUGAUGCUGAGGUUAAGUGGAAUUGGUACUGAGGCUCUCCUCGGAUACAGAGUCCUUUAGUGUGUGUGUUGGAGGGAUUGUGUGCUUUGGAGAAGAUGAGAGAAGGGACAGGCCUGGGGAAGGUCUGAGUCACCAUCCUUACAGAAAGCCCUCAAGGGAUAGAGGGCAGAGUAGAGGGCAGGGGUCAUAUGUAAGUGUUAGGUUAAGGUCCAAGGAAACUUCCCCUUUAGGUGUGAAUUGUGUUGGGAUAAAGGAGGGAAGGAGGCUUAUAUACUACAGAGAGAUUUGAAGAGUUAUGACAUUUACAGGUAUCUGUGGGUUUCCUUUUGUUCUGAUAAUGCUGGUGGAUGGGGGAUGGUCUCUGCAGCUGCAGUGAGGCCACAGUGGAUCAGAGAUGGCCACGCAGGCAGCCAUCUCAUUCUCCACUACUGAGAGAGGUGCUGAGCACCUUGAUGCUCUCUGAUCAGGAGAAGGCUGGGCUCCAGUGCCCCUGCUUGUCUGGAUCCCUCCCCUUCAGCCCUGGAGGAUGCAUCCCAUGGUGUAAGGCACAAUGUCAGGCCUCUCCUUUCAUAGAGCCACAGAUCUCAAGAAAUAAGGCACCUGGAAAGUUCCUUCCCCAUGCAGAAGCCACUGGAGACCAUUGUAAGGCAACAUGUGAAUUGGAGUGUGCCACACUGAGUUCCAGAGUGCAGAGGGAUCCUGAAUGGGGCUGAGGGUUUGCUGUGGAGGUUCAGAAAGGGCUGGGUUUAUGGGCCAGAAGCAAUAACUGUAGGUAUGUGAGGCAAACAGCCCCAACCUGGAGACAAGCAGUGGGAGAAGAGAGGAUGACAGCAGGUGAUAAUGUGGGGAUGACUCAUUUCUUUGAUCUCUGGAGCUCUUGCCCCUGAUGCUGUCUUGACCUUCCAUCUCACCCCCUGCAAAGCAGAUCUUGCUAGGUCACCUGCCCCCUGCAAGCAGGUGGGAAUGGCUAUGUAGCUCAAGGGUGGCAUCAUGCGGUCAUAUUGGGUAGUGCACCCCACACCCUCCAUUAUGUGUAAGGUCACUCAGCAAGUGUAGCCUGCCUGUGCUGUUGUGGAUGCCAAGGAUCUUUCCCAGCAGAGCUGAGUUCUGUGCAGAGCAGUCCAGAAGGGCUGAUGGCCUGAGAGCUGGUAGAAGAGAAGAGAAGGGAGAGGGAUAGGUGAUGGGUUUGAAAAGAUGCUACAGGGAAGCUGGGUCUCGGCAAGGAUGCCUGCAGCCCACUGCUCUCCUGCAUCUGGUCACCUUUCAAAGUGGGUUUCAGGGGCCACAUUCUGGGCAUCUGACUACCCUCAGCCUUUCACUUGAGCAUCUUAAGUUGCAACCCUGUCACCCUUGGGGAUCUGUUCCCACUAGGAGGCAUUAUUCAAAAAAGGCUUCUGUUUCCAGUGUUCAUGCAAAGAGCCUGAAGUCAAAUCUCAGAUCUUCCCUAUCUUAUCUGUGUGACCUCAGGAAAGUCCUUUAUCCUCUCUGUGCUUCAGUGUCUUCAUCCACAAACCAGGGGUAAUAAUGCCUGCCUUAUGGGGUUUGAGACCUCAUAAUGAGAGGAUGUCAGGACAAUGAAUGACCCCUACCAUAGAAAAGAGAGCCCCCAACUCUGGAUCUAGCAGCUGUCAUCCCUGGGGAGGGGAUUAGCUUGGCCCCCUGUACACAGCUGUGUGUGUGUGUGUGUGUGUGUGCUUGGCAAUGAGUUGUUCAAUUGAAACCAGCCAUGGCUGUUUGCCCCUUACCUUACCUACCUAAACAGACAGGGGUGUGCUGAGAGCCCCCAUGGGUGUUUCCAGGACUGUGGGCACUGUGGGAAAGGUGGCCACCAGUCCUCAGGAAACAGGAGGAGAGACUUGAAGAAGAUGGAGGGAGCUGUUCAUCAUGCCAGUUCCUUGGAACUUGGGAGCAAGAGGAGACAGCAGCAGCACCUGGGCAAUGCAUCUGCUCUCCCAGGAGACCAAGAGCUGGGAUCUGAUCCAGGCUGGCCCGUGCUGAUGGAGUGGCCUUGCAUCUGUCCUUCUUUGGGCCUCAGUUUCUGCAUCUGUAAAACAAGAGAAAUGUGCUGGACUCCUUCCAGCCCUUGUGUUCUGUCAGCCACCACCUCCCCUUCCACGCCCCCUCCUACUCCAAACAGGCAGGUGAGGCCUGGGGCCCCAGCCACUGUCCUUGAGGGUAGGAGCCACAGAGGGCAUCGGGAGGCCUGGCACCUGGGGGAGGCAGGCUGAGAUGGAAUCCUGAGCUCUAGGAGGAAGGAGUCAAAGAAAUUGCCAGCAGUGAAGAGCUGUGGCUUCCCGAAAGUCCAGCUGGACUAGAGGUGCCAAAUGCUCCUGGAGCCACUGCAACACAUAAUCCUAAUGAAGUGUGAUCCUGCAAACCAACAGCCUGGGGCAGGGCUCCAGGAGUUCAUCCCACCUAUCCAUGGGAUGCCUGCAGGGCUUCUUUGUUCAUCCCAGAGGUGGCCUGGCCCAGUGUGGGCCUGGGGGAAGUGACAGUAGGAAGUGAAAAAUCAAAGAACCCCUGGCAUGAAGCUGGCAUGUCAGCUGAAGGGGAAUGGAUAACUGCAUUUUGUGCUUUCAUUUCUGCCUAAUCUGGGGUAUACCCCAAAUCCCUGGCAGUUGAUGACUCCACAUUAGCAUCUCUGUUCUGGAUUCCUCCUUCCACCUCCACGUCUAUCUUUUCCAUCUCUCAUUCUCAUUUCCCAUUUCCUUCCUUUUCCUUCUUUCUGAGGGCCUAGACUUAUUUGGCUAGAAGCAUUCUCAGACAUGGUUUCUCCCUUCCAGAGCCUCUAGAGAUUAGGGUGCACCCAUCUGUUGGCUUGUGCCGUUUGGAUUGCUAUGGUCAGAAGGUAGUUGGGUUAGGGGCAGAACCCCCAGGCCAGUGCACCAGCUUGGGAUAGAAUCUGGGCUUGUUUCAUCUAUAGGGUAGUCUGGGCCUAGCCCCAUGGCAUAUGUCUCUUGCUCUUUAGAGCAGGAAAUCUGCUUCCGGGAUCUUUUUUCUUUUCUUUUUCCCUUCUAUUUACUUACUUAUUCUUUACAGUACUGUGAUUGAACCCAAGACUGCUGUACCACUGAGCUACAUGCUCAACCCCUUUUUCACUAAAUUGUCUAAGCUGGUCUUGAACUUAUAAACCUCCUUCCUCAGCCUCCUGAGUUUCUGGGGAUUACAGGCAUGUACCACUGCACCUGGCCCUGGAUUUCUUUUAAGAAAAUGGGAUUUUUAAGGUCAAGUUUGCAGAGUUAUUUACACAAUCCAAGGAUCUCUUCCCAAAUCCCACACUAUUGUGCUCUGCCUUCUAGAGCAGUGGGUUUUGAAGUGUGAACCACUGUGAGAGAUCUAUAACCCAGCAGUACCUGAAAUCUUAUUAGAAACACAAAAAUUCAAGUCUCCGUGCCCAGGGAGGGCAGGAAAUGGCUUGCAUUCCCUUGGGAGAACCGAUUGUGCACACUCCCUCCCCAAUGCCACAUUUAGUGACAGUCACAUUGGGGGGGGGCUUGACAUCAGCCACGGUGGCAGUAUUUACACUGUGGAAAUUGGCAAACACUUCAAAUCAGUGCUUGUUUUUCUUUUCAGAGAGCCCCGUUAAACUGCUUUCUGCAUUCUGCUGGGCCCCAUUCAGACCUACUGAAUCAGAAAUUCUGAAGGUGGAGUCCAGCAGCCUGCAUUUUAAUAAUAUUUCCAGGUGAUUCUGAUGCAUAAUCAAAUAUGAGAACUACCAUUCCCAUAGGUCAGCUCUGGUGGGAUCAUGAGAAAAAAGGAACCUAUGGGUUGUCAAUGGAAAGGUGAACCUCCAACUGCUGCAGAGUAGAUUGGAUCAGGAUACUUCACCUUGUUCUCAUUUUCCCACGUAUCCAGAUGAAGGAGAGAGUGUCACAGGAUCCAAAGGGCAUGGAAUAAUUGGCAGAAAAAAAAUAACCCUUUGGAUGCAUAUUUCUGCUACAAAGAAAAACACAUUAAAAGCAUUGCAUUGGAGAUACAGAGAAAGGAUAUCCUGUUUCUUUCCUAGAAAACGUGAAAAUGGGAAGUCACAGUACCUUACCCAUUAUUAUUCAUGCAAAUGUGUGCAAAAUGCCACUGGGAUUUUCUUUCCCUUUUCCAAUUUUGAAAUACUUAAACAUAUAGCAAAAUACAAGGAGAAAUAUGACAAUAAUCUUGUCCCCACCAAAAAAGAGAUGGCAAAAGCUAACAUUUUGUCUCACUUAUGUCAGAUUUUUUAAAGAAAUAAGACUUGAAGAUACAGUUAAAAAUUCCCAUUGUGUCCCCUUUCUUCUCUGUAAAUAUGCAGCAACUAUCCUCAAAUUGGUGAGUAUUUUUCUCAUACAUGUGUUCCAACCCAAUUUCUCAUAAUUAUACCUAGCAAUUCUUUGAGUGCUUUUUAAUUUACAUAAGUGGUGUCACACUGACCCUAUCAUUCUGGAACUUGCUUAUUUUUAUCUAACCUUGUGUUUCCAUGCUCUAUCCAUGUUGCUGGUAGAAUUCUAGCACAUUCAUUGUGACACCUAAAUAACAGACUGUUUAAAGGGAACCACAAUUCAUCCACUCACCCAAUGAUGGACAUUUAAUUUUGCUAUGGUUUGUCCUCCCUGAAACUCAGGUUGAAAUUUAAUGGCUAUUGUGGUGAUGUUGGGAGGUGGGCCCUUUAAGAGGUGAUUAGGUCAAAGGACUCUGCCCUAUGAAUGGAUUUAAACCCAUGGAUUUAUGGGUUAUCACAGGAAUGGCUUUGUUAUAAGGUGAACUCUCUGGCUAGCUUUCUCUGUUUCACCAUGUGUUGCACUCUGCAUGUUAUGAUGCAGCAAGAAGACCCUCACCAGGUGCCAAGCAGAACUGUGAGCUAAACAAACCUCUAUUCUUUGUACCAGUCCUGGUAUAUCAUCAUCAUCAUCAUCAUCAUCAUCAUCAUCAUCAUCAUCACUGGGGAUUAGACCCAGGUGUGCUCUACCACUGAGCUACAUCUCCAGGCUUUUUUAUUUUUUUAUUUUGAGACAGGCUCUUGCUAAGUUGCUCAGGCUGGCCUUGGACAUUCAAUCCUCCUGCCUCAACUUCCUGAGGAACUGAGAUUACAGGCAUGAGCCACAGUGCCCAGCCAAGGCAUUUUUUAAAAAUAGCAACAAAAAAUGGAUGAGGAUAAAGUCAUUUAUGAGUUGUCAAUCUCAAAUGAUUCUAUAGUGAACAACCUUGUACAUGUUUCCCCAGAGAAGACCCCACACACAUAAGUGGGUUAUUGGGCCAUAGGGAUAGUACAUUCCUCGUUAUUGACAUGUGUCCAAUUUGCUCACUAGCAUUUCUAAACCAGUACCCACUUCUACCAGUGCCACAUGAUACCUCCUAAAAUGCUAUUUAUUCAGUAUGCUCUUGGACAGUUUUAUUUCCUGAAUGCAAAAUCAAAUAUAAGGAUUAUAUUAUUCCUGGCUUUUGUUCACCUGUUUCUAUUUUCCCUUAAAGUCUUUUUUUUUUUUUUUGUGGGGCUGGGAAUUGAAGCCAGGGCCUUGUGCAUGCGAGGCAAGCACUCUACCAACUGAGCUAUAUCCCCAGCCCUCCCUUAAAGUCUUAAAUUCUUCUGUCAUGAAUUCUCCCACUAGGAUUUUCCGGAAUCUGAACCUAACAGCAAGAAGGGACAACUGGCCUGAAUAUUAUGGGGUGGAGUAUGUGUGUGUCAUUUUAGUAGCUUUGUAUCAAAGGCAAGAAGGAAAAGAAACUGGGAAGAGCCAGACCUUAAUGUCUUCUCAACAAUGCAUCAACCCCAGAAAAGAGGUGGAUAUCCCUCUUAAUUUGUUGUGGGUCAGAGGGAGAGUCAUCCCAAGAAGUCACCCUAUGGUUCCAUCUUACCUGCUUCCCUACCACUUCUCUAAGCCAUGUAAGCCCAGGGGAUAGGGAGAGAGGUGUGUUGUGUGGGGAAGGGGCACUCCAUGUGUUCAUCUGGGGUAAAGGGCUGACUUUUGGCCCUCAGCCUAAGUGUUCUCUGUCCAUGCCAAAGGCUGCUGCUGCAUCUGGGCCUGUGGGGAUAGGAGAGCUGCCAAAAUCCUAGACUGGGCAGUGACAGUGGAAAGCCUAGAUCUUGGCCACUGACCCUGUGCCUCAGCCCCAGGGCCAGACAGAACUAGUCUUCCCACAGGCCCUAAAUCAGGGAGCCUUCAGAACCUCUGAAAUUGACUUGAGAAGAGGGUGGGGGUGAGGGAUGAUUAAAGGGACCACCACCAAACUGCUUGUCUCCAAAAAAAGGCAUUUCAAGAGGCAGGGACCUGAAGUGACUGCAAACUCACUUUGUACAAUUCACAGCUAGGUAGGUGUGUGGAGGGUCUUGAUCCGAGGAGCCCCCACCCACCCACCUAACACCUUAAGUGUGGUCCACAAGAAUUUGUUUGGAGGGGACAUUUGUUCUUUAUCAAAAAGAUAAAACCUGAAAACCUCAAUGACCUUGCUCAACAGAUUUCUGUCUGCUUUGAACAGCCUGCCCUCUGGACAACAGGUGGCUUACUCAGCCUGGAGGACCAGAGGCUUACCCAUAGGCCCAGCGCAUCCCAUCAGGACCUCACAGUGGAACCCCGCCCACCAGCCAAUGAGGACGUGCAGAGGUGACGUCACUAUAUCCUGUUUCCCAGCUCAGCCAGGGUGGAUAGAACAAGCUAGAGAAAACAGCCAGUAAGUACAAGUACGGAUGCCACCACUGAUGUUGGUAAAGAAGUGGUGAAGGGCAAAUGAGUCAGCAGCAAGUUUAAGCAAUGAACAAUUGCACCACGGGGUGUUUCUCAAAUUCUUGUCUACUUUUAGAAAGUAUGCAAUGGCAUUCAGUGGGCAUCUGGAUUCUGAAAUAGCUACAGAAAAUGUUAAAAAUGCUGUGGGUGAAGAUGUGCCCGCGUUGACCUCCUUUCUAAAACAAUAGUUAACGAUUGUGCCGCGUGUCCUAAAGCAAAUCUUUUAACCUGACUGUUCCUUAGUUUCCUCACCUGUGACAUGAAGGGAAUGUAUGAGAAGCAUCUCUGGAGGUUCCUUCCAGUCUAACAUUGUGUGAUCUGACCGUUUGACACUAGACUCACAUUCUUAAUACUCAGGCUAUGUCUACACAAUGCCAAGACCACUAGCCAGUGGAGUUAGUGGGGACGAGAUGUUCUCUCCAAUCAAUUUUUUGGCCCGGGAUACAUAAAACAACCAAUUAAUUGGCACCAUUUUUCAUUUCACAACUGAGUGCACUGGGAUCUUCUUGACCAGUGGUUCCUCCUCGCGAUGUCCUGAUGUGCAGCAUGCCUGAAUCAGUGCUGAGGUGUGUCAUAGGCAAUUGGCUACUCAUAAUAAGCUGUUGAGGUUUUCAAGUGAUUGAUGACUUUUUUAUCAAUUAAAAUAGACCUAGUCUGUCUCUCUAGGAACACCCCUGCCAGUCGUUUGCAUUCUGAUAUGCCUCCCUGUAUUGAAGAAGAAGGAGUGAAAUUAUAGCUAGCAAACCAGGGACAAUAGGUUAGGGAGUACCUGUUGUCCCCAGCCUAUUGGAUGCUGACAGGAGGAUGUCAUGUGCUGUGUCUGUGAAUGUCUAUCACCUACUACACCUGCAAGACAGCUGAUGGAGACCUCUGAUGAAUGGUUGGACAUGAAGUCACUGGAGACUCAGGCUCUGGAACAAUCUGAUCCAGAUGUGGACAGUUACCAGCAUCCCAUGAUCCAGUAGUCAGCCAGAGAAGCAGGAAAGUGUUCAACAGAGCACAUUACGAAGGGCUUGUCUUUGGUCCAAAAAGAGAUUCCACCAUGGCUGUUCACCAUUGAGGAAGGGAAGGGAGCAUGACACGGUGUUUAUUGAACAUUUUAAAUGGUGCCAAGCCCUGUCCCCGACACUCAUGGCAGGUUUUAAUGCUGUUCACCAGCAUUUAAUGUGUCCUCAGCUGUUCUGAUUGUGUUUUCUCCCUUUUGCGGUGUGCAAGAGUCCUGCAAAAUCCUGGCCAUUGAGUUAUGGGUAGAAGUAACAUGUCAGUCCAACACCCAAGCAUUUUGUUAACUUUAGACCCACUAGAGCUCCCCUAAGUCUCCAGCAUGAGAACUGCAUCAGUCUGGCGUCUCUUCCAUCAUCAGCCCGAGUCCUGGGAUGGUAUGGAGCAGAGUCCCCAGGCUAGUUGUACUGCAUGUGAAUCAUGUAGCACACAGAGAGUGAAGCUAAACAUCAUUGUUCUAGGCCACUGGGAUUCUGGGGCCACUUGUAACUGCAGUACAAGCUGGUUUUGUGCUGACUGACAUAUUUUCUAUAACAUAAUGACUUUUUUUUUUUUUUAAAGUGAGCUUUAGUGUUAAAAAGAUCAAGACUGGAAGCUUAAUACUUACUGACCACGGGCAAAUCUGUUAACAUUCUGACCCUUAGUUUCUUUAUCUCUGAAAUGGUAGGCAUGACUUCUAUCUCACAAUAUUUUUUUAUUAGGUUUGUAAAUACAAGAUACCUAGCACAGGAUUUGGCAUGCAGUAGAUGCUCAAUUAUAAUUAUUUUGAUUUCCUGUAUUCCUAGAAACAGCCCUGAGUAAAGAGCGCAUGGGAGUGUUGUUGUUUCAGAUCAUCAAAUAUUAUGGAGAACACUGGCCAGGGACCCCAAGCAUGAGGGACUGUGUGGAAUCCUCUGUGCUCACCCUCCCCUGAUCUCAGAGGAGCCCUAAAGGGAGAGGAGACGCCAAGGAUGCCAUUUACAAUUGAACCUUUUUAUUGCCAGAGGAAAGGCAGAGUCCACUUAAGGGAGAGAUUAUCGACACCUUCAGCAUAUGAAAUAAGACUACAGCGGUGGAGAGGGUUAGGAUCUGUGAGCCCCAUGGAGGCUUGUUAUCCUACCAACCAAAGCCAGCAGAGAGGCCUUUCCUGAAGGUUCAGCAAGCCCAGCUCUUCUCUUAAAUCAGCUUAUUAGUAUUAUCAUAACCACUUUGUCUGACUCACCUGGGACUCAGGAAUAAUCUGGAGAGUGGACUUCAGAGGAAGGGAGAGAAAGAACGGAUGAGGGACCCUCCCUCCUCCUGAUGCCCACCAUAUCUUUCUUCCCUACCAAGCCUGGCCAGAUGGAGGAGCAGAACCAAUCAGGGAAGGAGGUGGGGGGACCAUUCUAAUUCUGUGUGGCCCUUCCCUUGCUAUGCCAUUUGCUCUAGAAAAGUCAAGUUCCAGGGUGCAAUUCCCACUUUAAUUUGAUUUACUCUGGAUUAUGUUAUUUCUAAGGCCAGUUUUCUCUAAGGUGAGCUCUCAGAUCAUGUUUUCCCUUGGUGUGCCACAUCCUGGUCAUUAGCUUGGAAUUAUAUGACCUGACCCAUGGGUCUUCUCAGUUCUGCCUCUGAGGUGGACAUAUCACACACACGGAGUGCAGAUGGUCUCUCAGGAUCCAAGGGGACCUUGAUCACCACCUUAACCACCUGGAAUCAUCAGGAAGCACCUGUUGAGGCCCCCACAGAUUUUGUUGAAUAAAAAAUAAAGGGACAGAGCACCACUACUUGGGUUAUGUUUACACCUGUCAUCAAUCGGACCCCAACUUGCUCUUGACUUUUCCCACACAGACCAAGGACCCAUGAGAAAUCUUAUGGUAGAGGGCCGACUCUGACCUUCAGCAGUUGGAUGACUCUUCUAAGUUAAGAAGGUUUACCCAGGAGCAUAUAGUAGAUGAACAUAGAUCUGUGGCUAGUGCUAGUGGAGUUAAAGCAUGAUGAGAAUGGAAAUAAAAUUGUGAAAUUGAAUCCUGAAAGGGCAUCAGCCUCAUUUUGAUCAAGAUCCCAGGCUGUACCUGAACCAGAUUAAAAUCAACAAAUUGGGUUUCUGAGAACAUGAGAGAGGCAAAUAGGGGUGUAGUGGAACACUCAUAAUAGCUUGUAAGCCAAGUGAAAAUGUUCAGAGGCCUGUGAACCAUUUUUAAACCACACAGCUUAAAAUCUAUUACCAUAGGGAUUGGUAAACUCUACAAAUCAAGGUGGCCAUAGCUUCUGCUCCUCCCCUUCCUCCUUCCUUGAUCUCUUCCCCUUCCUUGUCCUCCUCCUUCUCCUUCUCUUCCUGGUUUACCAAGGCAUGUGCAGUUUCUAUUCCAGGGAUGGCAAUGGGAUCAGAGGCAUUGGUUUUGUGUAUGGAAAGAACAGAGUUCUCUGGAACCUUAGACAGCUUUGAGGACUCUUUUUAAAAAUCACUUUUAACAUUGAAAGAAACUAUCAGAUAGGGGGUUGUGACUUCAGUCACUGAGGUUUUAAAUUUAAAAGCUUUAGCUGAAGUGAAAAUUACAUGCAAAUGUUGGGUUGUUCGGAGCUGCAGGAGUCUGCAGUGGUGUUCUAGAGAAAGCCUUUAUUGAACUCUCUGUGGAGCUGCAUUGAAGUGGCUUCCAAGCCUUCCAGAGAGGGGCUAGCACCUAAUUGUAGCUCACUGUGUCCAUUGCUGUGGGGUCUCCUGUGGGUGGGACAGAGAGUUUUGAAGAAUCUAUGUUAUGAACUGAAUUGUGUCUUUCAUAUAACCUCUAAUGUGACUUUGGAGAUGGAACCUUUAGGCAGACAAUUAUGGUUACAUAAAGUCACAAGGAUUGGACCCCAAUUCAAUCUGACUGGUGUCCUUAUAGAAAGAGGAAAUUUGGACACAAAAGAUACCAGGGAUGGGUAUGCAAGGAGAAAAGUUCACACAAGGACACAGGAGAGAUUGUGUCUGUAAGCCAAGGACAGAAACCUCACCAGAAACCAACUCUGUGGGCACCUUGAUCUUGGACUUACUGCCUGCAGGACUGUGAGAAGAUGAAUUGUGAUUGUUUAAGCCAUCCAGUCCCUGGUAUUCUGUCAAAGAGCUAGCUGGUUUAUGCAUUCGACAAUCUAGAUUGUAUUUUCUGUUCUUGUUUGAUUUUUUAGAUCAGUUUUACAGGAUAAUUGAAAGCCUUCCACCAUUCUUCAGACCCUCUCGACCCUGCCAAAGACUCUCAAUGUGCCCAGUCACCCAUCUGUGAAGCCCAAGGGUGGGGCCAUGUAGAGUGAACUGGAAUUCAGCAGGUUUCUGUAGCAGCUGACAGUCAGAUUGAACAUGAGUAGAACUCAGCUCUGCCAGUUUCUAGCUGUGUAAAUUGUCCUCAUCUCCUCUGUGCCCUUGUAUCCUCGUCUGUAAAAUAUUAUCCUCCCUCAAGGAUUGUGGUGAGGAUAAAGCAAAAUGGCAGAAAGAUAAGGCACACAGAACAGUGCUCAGGGAGCAAUCCCCCCUAAGCAAAGCCACCUGGGGUUCAGCCAGCCCUAGAGUCUGGUCAGUUUGCCCUGGUCACUGGGUUGGUGGGGAACUUGAAGGAGCAGGGAGAUCAGUGCCUGAGGGGGCAAGGUGUUUCUUCUCCUGGUGACCUGCACUACCAGGGAGCAUCUGGUACCAAGACCUUCCCCGGUUGAAUCCUCUCCGCCCCUAGGUUGUUCCCAAAUGUGAUGAGCCCUUCAAAAACAAACAAACAAACAAACAAAAAACACUAUGCAUCUUAAUAAAUAAGAUAAUGAAGUAAACGUUUCCCAGGGAGCCUGGCUCUCAGCAAGUGCUCAAUAAAUGGUAACGAUUUCUAUAUAUCCAGUGCCCCCCCCCUUACAUGCCACUUCUCUCCCCCACCCCAAGGCAGCUGUGGCCACAGAGGCAUAAUUUGGAUGCUGUUGUUAGGAACAGCCUUGGUAGCUUCAUUAACCAAUUGAGUUCAGCUUUACUAAAAGCCCUGUUCCUAAAGAAGCCUUCUCCAAGCCCUUCCCCAACACCCAGAAUAAAACAGGCUGACCGCCCCCAAGAAAGGUACCCUGCCAGAACCCAGCACACCCAGAACCCAGCACACUCUCUGAUAUUCGCGGUAAUAUCUGCUGAUGGAGGACACACUUCCUGUAGCUUACUGAACUCCAGUCCCCUUGUCUUCCAACUUUCUUUUCCUGCACCAUGAGCCAGACCAUUGGUGACCUGGUGAAGGGUGGAAAUCAACUGACAGGAGAAUUCAGACCUACAGCACCUGGUUAAAUGCAGGAAACAGGCCUUUGCUCACAGGUGGUCCUAACCCAGAACUGAGGAACCAUGUGAUGCUGGAAUUUGGCCCAGUGAAGCCAGCUUUGGCAUUUGGGCUUUGUACCUGACUCCCCAGGCACCACCACCUAAAUCAGGUGAAAACUCCUUCAGCACUUUUUUAUUUUCACAUCCCCUGGGAUCUUGCUGAGCACACAGGGAGGCUUAGGUAGAAGUCACUUUGUCUCUCCAUGUUGCCUUCUGUUCAAAGAUAAUUUAAGAGUCAUGUUCUGGAAUGACCUGUUUUGUACCUAUCCAAAAGCAGACUUUGCAAAGUCAGGUGACACAAAGGGUCAGAUCCAUCUAACCUCAUCAAAGCCCUGGUUUCUAAGGGACCUGUCUAUGGAGGUUAGUGAUAACAAACUCAGUAAAGAGCAGAGGCUGAGAGAAGAAUUCAAGUAAGGAAAAAAUCCUACUGCCGAUUCAGAAAAACUCAUGAGUUUGAAAUUUUCUGGAAACAUCACAUCUUACUAUAACUCAUUCUCCUUUUCUCUGCAGACUUCAAGGAAAUAGGACUGAAACAAAGAAACCAAAGCCUUCUCCAGAAAAAUUGUAAAGGGUCAAAAAAGGGUCCUUAAUUAGAUACAGGAAAUCAAGGCUGGAGAGAAGCUGUGGCCAAUCUGACCAUAUUUGACAUAUACCUAAGAAAGUUCAAAGAGUCAGAAUUAACUCUAUCCAAGUCUAAAGAAGAACCAGGAUUAAACUAAAUAAAGGUCAACAGCCCUAGCAAUUAAAGACAUCAAUUUAUGCCUGUGUUUGUAUUUCUUUGAAUCUAACUCCAACUAUAUAGCCUAUUUUGAAUUGAUAUUUGUUGGUAUUUUAUUAAAAUAAUAAAUUAUUUGUUCUUAGUUAUUUUAAUAAAAAGCUCUAUUUAAAUUUA